GGACACCUCUCUUUCAAGGAGGCGACGGGGAUUCAAAUUCCCCUGAGGGUAUCAACAAAUUCCUGUUAACCGCGAGCUGCGCCGCGCCCAUCCACGGAAUCGUUGUUUUACAUACAUACGUUAUUGCCCAUUGACAGCGGCCUAGCGCGGCCGAGUGUCCCUGUUACCAAAGUAUCACCGGGUCGGUGCUCGAGCGGUUAAUGGGGACGGAUUGUAAAUCCGCUGGCAAUGCCUACGCUGGUUCGAAUCCAGCCCGACCCAAAACGAACCUCCCCCUGAAUAUCUAAUACCAGUAUCAGACGUGAGUAGGGUCUACGCCGCGCCAGCCAUGAAGCAACCCCGCCUCGAUACCGCGCCGUGUACGGCGCGGUAUCGAGGCGGGCUGAAUGACUACAAUUUUCAUAAUGAAUGACGGAUAAAGGGCCGCCAAAUUCGCGCACGUCUGGCAAUAGAUGUAGUUGUUUCUACCUAUACGAAUAUCCAUAGAGUUACGUAUAAGCACUCAAUGACAUCGGAAGUAAUAAUCGUAGUAAUCGCAGUAAUAGUAGUAUACGGGUUUGGCACAAAGACUUCAUACUUAUUGGUUUCACAAGUAAACUG
This 600-nucleotide long non-coding RNA is filed under the name Selaginella moellendorffii. Its description in RNAcentral is "long non-coding RNA (SMOE_LNC002483)". The stretch from base 180 to 261 matches the Rfam family "tRNA". The record is from RNAcentral. Lineage: Eukaryota; Viridiplantae; Streptophyta; Lycopodiopsida; Selaginellales; Selaginellaceae.